GAAUCCAAGUUGUAUUCGACCGAGGGGUCGCUGCUUUGGUGAUUUCUGUGGCCGAGUGUCGACGAUCGAUGGCUAGGGCACGGUGAGAGCUAGAUCUUGCAUCGUCUUCCAUCGGUAGACCUUCCCUCUCCUCCCUCACGCCGACUGCCGACGCCACUGGAAUCGAGUCAGAUUUGAUCGUCGGCAUGAAGAGAUAAUUAGGGCUUUGAGGGUCAGGUCUUGGAUCCCUUCUUUGUUGUUGUUGAUUGAGAGUCAGGGGAAUCCCUGGUAUGCUGGUUCACGGAGCGGAGUAGGUGAUCCAUCUGGAAAUGAUCAGUUGAGGAGGGAGAGAUCGGAUCCAAUUACUUGUUGUAACCCAC
Long non-coding RNA from Zingiber officinale, 359 nucleotides. RefSeq lists it as uncharacterized. The record is from RefSeq and is a predicted model, not a curated record. Lineage: Eukaryota; Viridiplantae; Streptophyta; Magnoliopsida; Zingiberales; Zingiberaceae. The transcript has 3 exons.